This 490-nucleotide ribosomal RNA is filed under the name uncultured bacterium. RNAcentral describes it as "partial 16S ribosomal RNA". It matches the Rfam family "Bacterial small subunit ribosomal RNA", at positions 28 to 507 of the family's 1533-position model. The record is from RNAcentral.
GAUGAACGCUAGCGAUAGGCUUAACACAUGCAAGUCGAGGGGCAGCAUGGUCUUAGCUUGCUAAGGCUGAUGGCGACCGGUGCACGGGUGCGUAACGCGUAUGCAACUUGCCUCACAGAGGGGGAUAACCCGUCGAAAGACGGACUAAUACCGCGUACACUCUAUGUUGGGCAUCCAAUGUAGAGGAAAUGAAAUUCGCUGUGAGAUAGGCAUGCGUCCCAUUAGCUAGUUGGUGAGGUAACGGCUCACCAAGGCGACGAUGGGUAGGGGAACUGAGAGGUUGAACCCCCACACUGGUACUGAGACACGGACCAGACUCCUACGGGAGGCAGCAGUGAGGAAUAUUGGUCAAUGGGCGAGAGCCUGAACCAGCCAAGUCGCGUGAAGGAUGACUGUCUUAUGGAUUGUAAACUUCUUUUAUACGGGAAUAACAAGAGUCACGUGUGGCUCCCUGCAUGUACCGUAUGAAUAAGCAUCGGCUAACUCCGUG